This 1384-nucleotide ribosomal RNA is filed under the name metagenome. Its description in RNAcentral is "bacterial SSU rRNA". It matches the Rfam family "Bacterial small subunit ribosomal RNA". The record is from RNAcentral.
CUGGCGGCAUGUUGCCGACGGCAACAGGAAGAGCAGUACGGCCGCACAGCCGAGCGGCGGACGGGUGAGUAAUGUCUGGGAAACUUCACCUGAUGGAGGACGUUAACUACUGGAAACGGUGACAACCGCACAUAACGUCGCCGAAGAUCAAAGAGGGGACCUUCGGGCCUCCACGCAUCGGAUGUGUGCCUGCGGUCGGAUUAGCUGGUGGGUGACCAGUUAACGGCUCCGCCUAGGCGGCACAAUCGCUGACCGAAGGAUGACUGGUACCCUGGAGCUGGACACGGUUGAACUCCAGGGCUGGCGCAGUGGGAAUAUUCUGUCGGGCUGAAGCUGAUGCAGCCUCACCGCGAUAACCCAUGAAGGAGGCCUUCGGGUUAAAGUACUUUCGGCAGGAGAAAGGGUAAGUUCUUCGCCCGCAGAAGUGACAUUUACUGAAAACACCGACUAACUCGUCUUAGCCAUGCAAUGACCACGGAGGGUGGGUGUUAAUCGGAAUUACUAAGGCUGGCCACCACGCAGGCGGUUUUGUAAGUCAGAUGAAAUCCCGGCUCAACCUGGAACUGCAUCUGAUACUGGCAAAGCUGAGUCUCGUAGAGGGGGUAGAAUUCAGGUGUAGCGGUGAAAUGCGUAGAGAUCUGGAGGAAUACCGGUGGCGAAGGCGGCCCCUGGACGAAGACUGACGCUCAGGUGCGAAAGCGUGGGAGCAAACAGGAUUAGAUACCCUGGUAGUCCACGCCGUAAACGAUGUCGACUUGGAGGUUGAGCCGCAGGAGGUGCUCCGGAGCUAACGCGUUGGUCGACCGCCUGGGGAGUACGGCCGCAAGGUUAAAACUCAAUGAAUUGACGGGGCCCGCACAAGCGGUGGAGCAUGUGGUUUAAUUCGAUGCAACGCGAAGAACCUUACCUGGUCUUGACAUCCACGGAAGUUUUCAGAGAUGAGAAUGUGCCUUCGGGAACCGUGAGACAGGUGCGCAUGGCUGUCGUCAGCUCGUGCUGUGAAAUGUUGGGUUGUCCCGCAACGAGCGCAACCCUUAUCCUUGUUGCCCAGCGGUCCGGCGGGAACUCAAAGGAGAUCGCCAGUGAUAACUGGAGGAAGGUGGGGAUGACGUCAGUCAUCAUGGCGCCUACGACCAGGGCUACAUACGUGCUGCAAUGGCGCUAAAAGAGAAGCGACCUCGCGAGCAAGCGGACCUCAUAAAGUGCGUCGUAGUCCGGAUUGGAGUCUGCAACCUGACCAAAGUCGAAUCGCACAGCAACGUGACCGUGGUCGAGACCACACGGUGAAUACAUUCCAGGCACCCACACCGGUCGCUGUCCCCGAGUGGGUUGCAAAAGAAGUAGGUAGCCAACCGGAGGCGCACCGCACAGCAAUUCACCAGCA